Molecule: ribosomal RNA, 1088 nt
Filed under: Gibellula sp. NHJ 12014
Lineage: Eukaryota; Fungi; Ascomycota; Sordariomycetes; Hypocreales; Cordycipitaceae
Description: SSU rRNA
Rfam family: Eukaryotic small subunit ribosomal RNA
Source: RNAcentral
UCAUAUGCUUCUCUCAAAGAUUAAGCCAUGCAUCUCUGGGUAUAAGCAAUUAUACGGCGAAACUGCGAAUGGCUCAUUAUAUAAGUUAUCGUUUAUUUGAUAGUACCUUACUACUUGGAUAACCGUGGUAAUUCUAGAGCUAAUACAUGCUGCGAACCCCGACUCCGGAAGGGGCGUAUUUAUUAGAUCCAAAGCCAACGCCCCCCGGGGCUCCCUGGUGAUUCAUGAUAACUCGUCGAACCGCACGGCCUUGCGCCGGCGGUGGUUCAUUCAAAUUUCUUCCCUAUCAACUUUCGAUGUUUGGGUAUUGGCCAAACAUGGUCGCAACGGGUGACGGAGGGUUAGGGCUCGACCCCGGAGAAGGAGCCUGAGAGACGGCUACUACAUCCAAGGAAGGCAGCAGGCGCGCAAACUACCCAAUCCCGACACGGGGAGGUGGUGACGAAAAAUACUGAUACAGGGCUCUUUCGGGUCUUGUAAUUGGAAUGAGAACAGUUUAAACCCCUUAGCGAGGAACGAUUGGAGGGCAAGUCUGGUGCCAGCAGCCGCGGUAAUUCCAGCUCCAAUAGCGUAUAUUAAAGUUGUUGUGGUUAAAAAGCUCGUAGUUGAACCUUGGGCCUGGCUGGCCGGUCCGCCUCACCGCGUGCACUGGUCCGGCCGGGCCUUUCCCUCUGCGGAACCCCAUGCCCUUCGCUGGGCGUGGCGGGGAGGCAGGACGUUUACUUUGAAAAAAUUAGAGUGCUCCAGGCAGGCCUAUGCUCGGAUACAUUAGCAUGGAAUAAUGAAAUAGGACGCGCGGUUCCGUUUCGUUGGCUAUUGGGACCGCCGUAAUGAUCAAUAGGGACAAUCGGGGGCAUCAGUAUUCGGCUGUCAGAGGUGAAAUUCUUGGAUUUGCCGAAGACUAACCACUGCGAAAGCAUUUGCCAAGGGUGUUUUCAUUAAUCAGGAACGAAAGUUAGGGGAUCGAAGACGAUCAGAUACCGUCGUAGUCUUAACCAUAAACUAUGCCGACUAGGGAUCGGACGAUGUUGUCUCUUGACGCGUCCGGCACCUUGCGAGAAAUCAAAGUGCUUGGGCUCCAGGGGGAG